UACGUAGGUGGCAAGCGUUGUCCGGAUUUACUGGGCGUAAAGAGCGCGCAGGCGGUCGUUCAAGUCGCGUGUGAAAGCCCCCGGCUCAACUGGGGAGGGUCACGCGAUACUGAUCGACUCGAAGGCAGGAGGGGGUAGUGGAAUUCCCGGUGUAGUGGUGAAAUGCGUAGAUAUCGGGAGGAACACCAGUGGCGAAGGCGACUACCUGGCCUGUUCUUGACGCUGAGGCGCGAAAGCUAGGGGAGCAAACGGG
RNAcentral lists this ribosomal RNA (253 nucleotides) under uncultured bacterium. RNAcentral's name for it is "partial 16S ribosomal RNA". It matches the Rfam family "Bacterial small subunit ribosomal RNA", at positions 524 to 776 of the family's 1533-position model. The record is from RNAcentral.